GAUGAACGCUGGCGGUAUGCUUAACACAUGCAAGUCGAACGGACUCUUCGGAGUUAGUGGCGGACGGGUGAGUAACGCGUGAGAAUCUGGCUUUGGGUUCGGGACAACCACUGGAAACGGUGGCUAAUACCGGAUGUGCCGAGAGGUAAAAGAGAAAUUGCCUGAAGAUGAGCUCGCGUCUGAUUAGCUAGUUGGUGAGGUAAAGGCUCACCAAGGCAGCAAUCAGUAGCUGGUCUGAGAGGAUGACCAGCCACACUGGGACUGAGAGACGGCCCAGACUCCUACGGGAGGCAGCAGUGGGGAAUUUUCCGCAAUGGGCGAAAGCCUGACGGAGCAAUACCGCGUGAGGGAAGAAGGCUCUUGGGUUGUAAACCUCUUUUCUUAGGGAAGAACAAAAUGACGGUACCUAAGGAAUCAGCAUCGGCUAACUCCGUG
RNAcentral lists this ribosomal RNA (435 nucleotides) under uncultured bacterium. RNAcentral describes it as "partial 16S ribosomal RNA". It matches the Rfam family "Bacterial small subunit ribosomal RNA", at positions 28 to 507 of the family's 1533-position model. The record is from RNAcentral.